UUUUCAUCAACCGAUAUCGGUUUUACUUAGCUGUAGAUUAAUAGGGAAUCGUGUGUAAAUCACGAACUGUCGCGCAACUGUAAAUCCUGCCUCUAAAGGCAACAAAGUAUCAUUAAUGCCACUGUUUGAUUUAAUUAAACGGGAAGGCGAUACAUUUGGGGAUAAGUCAGGAGACCUGCCGUUUAUCGAAUUGACGA
Molecule: non-coding RNA, 197 nt
Filed under: Pedobacter sp.
Lineage: Bacteria; Pseudomonadati; Bacteroidota; Sphingobacteriia; Sphingobacteriales; Sphingobacteriaceae
Also listed under: 1 other name
Source: RNAcentral